UACGGAAGGGGCAAGCGUUGUUCGGAAUCAUUGGGCGUAAAGGGCGCGUAGGUGGUUCUGUAUGUCUAUCGUGAAAGCCCCCGGCUCAACUGGGGAGGGUCAUUCGAUACUGAUCGACUCGAAGACAGGAGAGGGUAGUGGAAUUCCCGGUGUAGUGGUGAAAUGCGUAGAUAUCGGGAGGAACACCAGUGGCGAAGGCGACUACCUGGCCUGUUCUUGACGCUGAGGCGCGAAAGCUAGGGGAGCAAACGGG
Molecule: ribosomal RNA, 253 nt
Filed under: uncultured bacterium
Lineage: Bacteria
Description: partial 16S ribosomal RNA
Rfam family: Bacterial small subunit ribosomal RNA
Source: RNAcentral